GAUGAACGCUGGCGGCGUGCCUAAUACAUGCAAGUCGAGCGAACAGACGAGGAGCUUGCUCCUCUGACGUUAGCGGCGGACGGGUGAGUAACACGUGGAUAACCUACCUAUAAGACUGGGAUAACUUCGGGAAACCGGAGCUAAUACCGGAUAAUAUAUUGAACCGCAUGGUUCAAUAGUGAAAGACGGUUUUGCUGUCACUUAUAGAUGGAUCCGCGCCGCAUUAGCUAGUUGGUAAGGUAACGGCUUACCAAGGCAACGAUGCGUAGCCGACCUGAGAGGGUGAUCGGCCACACGGGAACUGGAACACGGUCCAGACUCCUACGGGAGGCAGCAGUAGGGAAUCUUCCGCAAUGGGCGAAAGCCUGACGGAGCAACGCCGCGUGAGUGAUGAAGGUCUUCGGAUCGUAAAACUCUGUUAUUAGGGAAGAACAAAUGUGUAAGUAACUAUGCACGUCUUGACGGUACCUAAUCAGAAAGCCACGGCUAACUACGUG
RNAcentral lists this ribosomal RNA (497 nucleotides) under uncultured bacterium. RNAcentral describes it as "partial 16S ribosomal RNA". It matches the Rfam family "Bacterial small subunit ribosomal RNA", at positions 28 to 507 of the family's 1533-position model. The record is from RNAcentral.